This 460-nucleotide ribosomal RNA is filed under the name uncultured bacterium. Its description in RNAcentral is "partial 16S ribosomal RNA". It matches the Rfam family "Bacterial small subunit ribosomal RNA", at positions 338 to 795 of the family's 1533-position model. The record is from RNAcentral.
CCUACGGGAGGCAGCAGUGAGGAAUAUUGGUCAAUGGACGGAAGUCUGAACCAGCCAAGCAGCGUGCAGGAAGACGGCCCUAUGAGUUGUAAACUGCUUUUGUACAAGGGUAAACCUGAGUACGUGUAUUCAGCUGAAAGUACUGUACGAAUAAGGAUCGGCUAACUCCGUGCCAGCAGCCGCGGUAAUACGGAGGAUCCAAGCGUUAUCCGGAUUUAAUGGGGUUAAAGGGUGCGUAGGCGGAUUGAUAAGUUAGAGGUGAAAUGUUCUAGCUUAACCCGAGAACUGCCUCUGAUACUGUUGAUCUAGAGAGUAGGUGCGGUAGGCGGAAGGUAUGGUGUAGCGGUGAAAUGCUUAGAGAUCAUGCAGAACACCGAUUGCGAAGGCAGCUUACCAAUCUAUAUCUGACGUUGAGGCGCGAAAGCGUGGGGAGCAAACAGGAUUAGAUACCCGGGUAGUC